UACGUAGGGGGCAAGCGUUGUCCGGAAUCAUUGGGCGUAAAGCGCGCGUAGGCGGCCCUGUAAGUCCGUUGUGAAAGUCAAAGGCUCAACCUUUGAAAGCCGAUGGAUACUGCAGGGCUAGAGUCCGGAAGAGGCGAGUGGAAUUCCUGGUGUAGCGGUGGAAUGCGCAGAUAUCAGGAAGAACACCAAUGGCGAAGGCAGCUCUCUGGGACGGUACUGACGCUGAGACGCGAAAGCGUGGGGAGCGAACAGG
This 253-nucleotide ribosomal RNA is filed under the name uncultured bacterium. RNAcentral's name for it is "partial 16S ribosomal RNA". It matches the Rfam family "Bacterial small subunit ribosomal RNA", at positions 524 to 776 of the family's 1533-position model. The record is from RNAcentral.